This is a long non-coding RNA of Cyprinus carpio carpio, 1105 nucleotides long. NCBI's taxonomy places the organism in Eukaryota, Metazoa, Chordata, Actinopteri, Cypriniformes, Cyprinidae. The record is from Ensembl.
GUUGAUCACUUUGUUAAUUCAGUGUGACAGAAGGCUUCCUGUGGUCUCUGUCUGUCGAGACCCUGUAAUUCAUUUUUGUCCCCUAUAAGGGACUCAAGAUCUGAAUUCAGAGGAAGUAAUAGCUUCUGGCCUGAAACUAUGUUCUAAUAAAGACUACAUACUGGGCUUUUUAGUCAUAUCCCAUUUGUUUGAUUAAACCUUGACAGUCAUUGGUCCUGUCUUCUCAAAUACCCACAUGUCCAACUAAAGUCCUGGGCCGCUGGGUCUCAGAGACUUAAAGAAAGGUAUUCCUUUACUUCAUAAACAUGAUUUAGUAAAUUUAGUUUAUUCGGUAUGUAAAUCACUAAUACAUUAAGACUUUUUGGUAUAUUUAUUAACAUAUAGUUAUAGAGACUAAUAUUUAAGAUUAUGUUAGAGCAAUUAAAGCACAGAUGCUUUUAGUUUAAGGAAAAUUGACUUAUCCAGGAUGUAUAUGAGUUUGUUCCUUCAUCGGAACAGAUUUAGGUAAAUAGCAUUACAUCUCUUGCUUUCCAGUUUUUACAAUCAUGCAUUUGUUCACUUCAAAAAAUACAUAUAAUUUAACUGGAUUUUUUUUUUUUUUAGGUUGGUUUAAUGUAAUUUAAGUUGAAAUGACUUGUAAAACCAAGUUGAUUAUACUUGUAAAAUGUAAAGCAUCAACUGAAGUUUUUAAGUUGAAAUAGGUGGAAUUUUUGUUUUACAGUGUAUCAGCUGUUUGAACUCAUUCUGGCGGCACCCAUUCACUACAGAGAUCCAUUGGUGAACAAGUGAUGUAAUGCCAUAUUUCUCCAAAUUUGUUCCGAUGAAGAAACAAACUCAUCUGGUGAGGGUUUCAGCUGCCAAAGCGCUUCAGCCUGCUUCUCUCCCUCUGUUUAUAGACCAGCAUGAAUAAAUGAUGAAAUGAUAAUACACAGCAGUAGAACCUUUUUUUUUCUCUCCCAGAGACGACUCUGCGGGAGACCGGGGACUUGCCUGUAUUAAAAUGCAUUAACAGUAAAUCAGGUCAGUCCCCCACUGCCUGCUAUAGGUUUUUUCCCACUUUCAAAGUGUGGGGUUGCAGGCAACAUGCUUGCUAGUAUACAUGGCU